This 497-nucleotide ribosomal RNA is filed under the name uncultured Glomeromycotina. Its description in RNAcentral is "partial small subunit ribosomal RNA". It matches the Rfam family "Eukaryotic small subunit ribosomal RNA", at positions 591 to 1091 of the family's 1831-position model. The record is from RNAcentral. Lineage: Eukaryota; Fungi; Glomeromycota.
CCAAUAGCGUAUAUUAAAGUUGUUGCAGUUAAAAAGCUCGUAGUUGAAUUUCGGGAUCAAUAUGUUGGUCGUGCCUCGGUACGUACUAGCUUAUUGGUUUCUCCUUUCUGAAGAACCAUGAUGUCAUUUAUUUGGUGUCGUGGGGAAUCAGGACUGUUACUUUGAAAAAAUUAGAGUGUUUAAAGCAGGCUCACGCUUGAAUACAUUAGCAUGGAAUAAUGAAAUAGGACGUUUGAUUCUAUUUUGUUGGUUUCUAGGAUCGACGUAAUGAUUAAUAGGGAUAGGUGGGGGCAUUAGUAUUCAAUUGUCAGAGGUGAAAUUCUUGGAUUUAUUGAAGACUAACUACUGCGAAAGCAUUUGCCAAGGAUGUUUUCAUUAAUCAAGAACGAAAGUUAGGGGAUCGAAGACGAUCAGAUACCGUCGUAGUCUUAACCAUAAACUAUGCCGACUAGGGAUCGGAUGAUGUUAAUUUUUUAAUGACUCAUUCGGCGCCUUAC